AAAUGACAUAAUAAGCUCAAAAUGUCAUAAGAACCUUGGUUAGCUCAUGAAUAUUAUAUACUUAUCUUGUUUUCCUCUAAAAUGACAUAAUUAGCCCAUUUAGCUCCAAAAACAUACUUAGCUAAUUUAGCUCCAAGAAGAGGAGAAAUGAAAAAAAGUAAGAAGAAGAAAAGGAGAAGAAGAGAAGAAGAAGAAGAAGAAGGAGAAGAAGAAGGAGAAGAAGAAGGAGAAGAAGGAGG
RNAcentral lists this long non-coding RNA (239 nucleotides) under Hordeum vulgare. RNAcentral describes it as "long non-coding RNA (HVUL_LNC015705)". The record is from RNAcentral. Lineage: Eukaryota; Viridiplantae; Streptophyta; Magnoliopsida; Poales; Poaceae.